AUGCUAGGGGAGCUAAUUUAGCUGAGAAGGAAAAUUCCUGACUCUUAGAACCUGAUAUGGAUAAUACCAGCGUAGGGAAGCAUAGGAC
This 88-nucleotide non-coding RNA is filed under the name uncultured Fusobacterium sp. Its description in RNAcentral is "TPP riboswitch (THI element)". It matches the Rfam family "TPP riboswitch aptamer (THI element)", at positions 6 to 94 of the family's 105-position model. Rfam says of the family: Vitamin B(1) in its active form thiamin pyrophosphate (TPP) is an essential coenzyme that is synthesised by coupling of pyrimidine and thiazole moieties in bacteria. The record is from RNAcentral. Lineage: Bacteria; Fusobacteriati; Fusobacteriota; Fusobacteriia; Fusobacteriales; Fusobacteriaceae.